RNAcentral lists this unclassified non-coding RNA (345 nucleotides) under soil metagenome. Its description in RNAcentral is "partial contains 5.8S ribosomal RNA, internal transcribed spacer 2, and large subunit ribosomal RNA". The stretch from base 1 to 120 matches the Rfam family "5.8S ribosomal RNA", at positions 35 to 154 of the family's 154-position model. The record is from RNAcentral.
GAUGAAGAACGUAGCGAAAUGCGAUAAGUAGUGUGAAUUGCAGAAUUCAGUGAAUCAUCGAAUCUUUGAACGCACAUUGCGCCCCCUGGUAUUCCGGGGGGCAUGCCUGUCCGAGCGUCAUUGCUGCCCUCAAGCACGGCUUGUGUGUUGGGCCUCCGUCCUCCUCCCGGGGGACGGGCCCGAAAGGCAGCGGCGGCACCGCGUCCGGUCCUCGAGCGUAUGGGGCUUCGUCACCCGCUCUUGUAGGCCCGGCCGGCGCUUGCCGACACAUCAAUCUUUUUUCCAGGUUGACCUCGGAUCAGGUAGGGAUACCCGCUGAACUUAAGCAUAUCAAUAAGCUGAGGA